GACGAACGCUGGCGGCGUGCCUAAUACAUGCAAGUCGAGCGAACAGAUGAGGAGCUUGCUCCUCUGACGUUAGCGGCGGACGUGUGAGUAACACGUGUAUAACCUACCUAUAAGACUGGGAUAACUUCGAGAAACCGGCGCUAAUACCGGAUAAUAUAUUGCACCGCAUGGGUCAAUAGUGAAAGACGGUUUUGCUGUCACUUAUAGAUGGAUCCGCGCCGCAUUAGCUAGUUGGUAAGGUAACGGCUUACCAGGGCGACGAUGCGUAGCCGACGUGAGAGGGGGAUCGCGCACGGAGGAGGUGAGACGCGGCACAGGGUCUGAGAGAAGGCAAAAGUAGCUACGGGACGGAAAAGGGGGGAAGCCUGCAGGAGCGGCGGAGGGUGGGUGAAGAAGGGCUGCGGGUCGGAAAACGCUGUUAGGGGGGAAGAACGAAUGUGUAAGUAACUAAGCGUGAGUGAACGGUAUGGAAAAAGAAGGACACGCUUACCAACUG
Molecule: ribosomal RNA, 496 nt
Filed under: uncultured bacterium
Lineage: Bacteria
Description: partial 16S ribosomal RNA
Rfam family: Bacterial small subunit ribosomal RNA
Source: RNAcentral